GACACAGUGGACACUAACAGCAACUGACUCUUGAUCAGUAGGUUCAGGGUUCGAUUCCCUGGUGCGUCA
This 69-nucleotide transfer RNA is filed under the name Pelolinea sp. RNAcentral's name for it is "tRNA-Ser". It matches the Rfam family "tRNA". From Rfam's summary of the family: Transfer RNA (tRNA) molecules are approximately 80 nucleotides in length. Their secondary structure includes four short double-helical elements and three loops (D, anti-codon, and T loops). Lineage: Bacteria; Bacillati; Chloroflexota; Anaerolineae; Anaerolineales; Anaerolineaceae. The record is from RNAcentral.